UGGGGAAUAUUGCACAAUGGGCGCAAGCCUGAUGCAGCCAUGCCGCGUGUAUGAAGAAGGCCUUCGGGUUGUAAAGUACUUUCAGCGGGGAGGAAGGCGAUAAGGUUAAUAACCUUGUCGAUUGACGUUACCCGCAGAAGACGCACCGGCUAACUCCGUGCCAGCAGCCGCGGUAAUACGGAGGGUGCCAGCGUUAAUCGGAAUUACUGGGCGUAAAGCGCACGCAGGCGGUCUGUCAAGUCGGAUGUGAAAUCCCCGGGCUCAACCUGGGAACUGCAUUCGAAACUGGCAGGCUAGAGUCUUGUAGAGGGGGGUAGAAUUCCAGGUGUAGCGGUGAAAUGCGUAGAGAUCUGGAGGAAUACCGGUGGCGAAGGCGGCCCCCUGGACAAAGACUGACGCUCAGGUGCGAAAGCGUGGGGAGCAAACA
This 427-nucleotide ribosomal RNA is filed under the name uncultured bacterium. Its description in RNAcentral is "partial 16S ribosomal RNA". It matches the Rfam family "Bacterial small subunit ribosomal RNA", at positions 355 to 774 of the family's 1533-position model. The record is from RNAcentral.